UAGUCCACGCCGUAAACGAUCAUCACUCGCUGUUGGCGAUAUACUGUCAGCGGCCAAGCGAAAGUAUUAAGUGAUGCACCUGGGGAGUACGCCGGCAACGGUGAAACUCAAAGGAAUUGACGGGGGCCCGCACAAGCGGUGGAGCAUGUGGUUUAAUUCGAUGAUACGCGAGGAACCUUACCAGGGCUUAAAUGUAGUAUGACCGGUCUGGAAACAGGCCUUCUCUUCGGAGCAGAUUACAAGGUGCUGCAUGGUUGUCGUCAGCUCGUGCCGUGAGGUGUUAGGUUAAGUCCUGCAACGAGCGCAACCCCUAUUCUUAGUUGCCAGCGGUUCGGCCGGGGACUCUAAGAAGACUGCCAGCGCAAGCUGAGAGGAAGGUGGGGAUGACGUCAAAUCAUCACGGCCCUUACGUCCUGGGCUACACACGUGCUACAAUGGUCGUGACAAAGAGUUGCUAGUCUGCGAAGGCAAGCCAAUCUCAUAAACGCGGCCUU
This 494-nucleotide ribosomal RNA is filed under the name uncultured bacterium. Its description in RNAcentral is "bacterial SSU rRNA". It matches the Rfam family "Bacterial small subunit ribosomal RNA", at positions 791 to 1289 of the family's 1533-position model. The record is from RNAcentral.